GCGUCAGUUUAGCCAAGUGGUUACUUCCAUGGUCGAAAACUAAUCCUGUGGUCCGCGGGCUACGGGGUUCAAACCACCGGCGAUGUCUGGCGUUUUG
The sequence is a vault RNA, 97 nucleotides long. Its record names the gene Vault. It matches the Rfam family "Vault RNA". Rfam says of the family: This family of RNAs are found as part of the enigmatic vault ribonucleoprotein complex. The complex consists of a major vault protein (MVP), two minor vault proteins (VPARP and TEP1), and several small untranslated RNA molecules. The record is from Ensembl.